AACGAACGCUGGCGGCAUGCCUAACACAUGCAAGUCGAACGAGACCUUCGGGUCUAGUGGCGCACGGGUGCGUAACGCGUGGGAACCUGCCCUUAGGUUCGGAAUAACUCCCCGACAGGGGUGCUAAUACCGGAUAAUGUCUUCGGACCAAAGAUUUAUCGCCUUUGGUUGGGCCCGCGUUGGAUUAGCUAGUUGGUAGGGUAAAAGCCUACCACGGCGACGAUCCAUAGCUGGUCUGAGAGGAUGAUCAGCCACACUGGGACUGAGACACGGCCCAGACUCCUACGGGAGGCAGCAGUGGGGAAUAUUGGACAAUGGGCGAAGGCCUGAUCCAGCAAUGCCGCGUGAGUGAUGAAGGCCUUAGGGUUGUAAAGCUCUUUUAACCGGGAUGAUAAUGACGGUACCGGGAGAAUAAGCUCCGGCUAACUACGUG
RNAcentral lists this ribosomal RNA (433 nucleotides) under uncultured bacterium. Its description in RNAcentral is "partial 16S ribosomal RNA". It matches the Rfam family "Bacterial small subunit ribosomal RNA", at positions 29 to 507 of the family's 1533-position model. The record is from RNAcentral.